GCAUAUCAAUAAGCGGAGGAAAAGAAACCAACAGGGAUUGCCCCUAGUAACGGCGAGUGAAGCGGCAACAGCUCAAAUUUGAAAUCUGGCGCAAGCCCGAGUUGUAAUUUGUAGAGGAUGCUUCUGGGUAGCGGCCGGUCUAAGUUCCUUGGAACAGGACGUCAUAGAGGGUGAGAAUCCCGUAUGUGACUGGCUUGCACCCUCCACGUAGCUCCUUCGACGAGUCGAGUUGUUUGGGAAUGCAGCUCUAAAUGGGAGGUAAAUUUCUUCUAAAGCUAAAUACCGGCCAGAGACCGAUAGCGCACAAGUAGAGUGAUCGAAAGAUGAAAAGCACUUUGGAAAGAGAGUUAAAAAGCACGUGAAAUUGUUGAAAGGGAAGCGCCCGCAACCAGACUUUGCGGCAGUGUUCGGCCGGUCUUCUGACCGGUUUACUCGCUGUCGUGAGGCCAUCAUCGUCUGGGACCGCUGGAUAAGACCUUAGGAAUGUGGCUCCCCUCGGGGAGUGUUAUAGCCUCUGGUGAUGCAGCGCGUCUCGGGCGAGGUCCGCGCUCCGGCAAGGAUGAUGGCGUAAUGGUUGUCGGCGGCCCGUCUUGAAACACGGACCAAGGAGUCUAACAUCUAUGCGAGUGUUCGGGUGUCAAACCCCUACGCGUAAUGAAAGUGAACGGAGGUGGGAACUUUUUGUGCACCAUCGACCGAUCCUGAUGUCCUCGGAUGGAUUUGAGUAAGAGCAUAGCUGUUGGGACCCGAAAGAUGGUGAACUAUGCCUGAAUAGGGUGAAGCCAGAGGAAACUCUGGUGGAGGCUCGCAGCGGUUCUGACGUGCAAAUCGAUCGUCAAAUUUGGGUAUAGGGGCGAAAGACUAAUCGAACCAUCUAGUAGCUGGUUCCUGCCGAAG
RNAcentral lists this ribosomal RNA (897 nucleotides) under Pseudocercospora cladosporioides. Its description in RNAcentral is "LSU rRNA". It matches the Rfam family "Eukaryotic large subunit ribosomal RNA", at positions 38 to 966 of the family's 3401-position model. Lineage: Eukaryota; Fungi; Ascomycota; Dothideomycetes; Mycosphaerellales; Mycosphaerellaceae. The record is from RNAcentral.